GGCCCCGCCCUGCGCCCGCGCGGGGACUGGCUCGCGAGCUGGUCCCUCCGGCGCUUCCUCUUGUGCAGCGGAGCAGAGCGGAGCCGAGCCCGGCCGAGCCGGGCCGGGCCGGGCCGGGCUGGGCCGAGCCCAGCCGAGCCAAACCGAGCGGAACCUAGCCGAACUGAGCGGAACUGAACCGAACUGAACCUAGUGGGCAGGUUCUGAAAAGAGGAAGGAAUUCACAGAUCGGGAUGGCUUGUCCUGACAGGAAGGAGGACUCCCAGCCCCGGAGUCCUAGCUGGGGCCUGAAGCGGAGCAGGGCCUGCCUGACCCAGGAGCAGGUAGCCAGCCAGUUGGCUAUGCUGAGAAAGGCACAGGAAUUCUUCCAGACCUGUGAUGUGGAGGGCAAGGGCUUCAUUGCCAGGAGAGACAUGCAGAGGCUCCAUGAGGAGUUGCCCCUCAGCCUGCAGGACCUGGAGGAUGUGUUUGAUGCACUGGAUGCUGACGGCAAUGGUUUUCUGACCCCAGAGGAGUUUGCUACUGGAUUUAGGCACUUCUUCAGUCAGAGUAACUCAAGUCAGGAGAACGAAGAUGAGCAGGUGGCCCAACUCCAGGAGGAAAAGGUGUACCAGUCCAGAGGGGACAGGGACCUGGGGGAUGUGGACCAGGAUGAGGAAGCCCAGUUCCAGAUGCUGAUGGACAAACUCGGAGCCCAGAAGGUGCUGGAGGAUGAAAGUGAUGUCAAACAACUCUGGCUGCAGCUGAAGAAAGAUGAGCCUCACCUGCUGUCCAGUUUCGAAGAUUUCCUGACUAGGAUCUUCUCCCAGCUCCAAGAAGCCCACGAGGAGAAGAACGAACUAGAAUGCGCCCUUAAAAAGAAAAUUGCUGCUUAUGAUGAAGAAAUCCAGCAUCUUUAUGAGGAGAUGGAACAACAAAUCAAAAGUGAGAGGGAGCAGUUUCUCCUGAAAGACACAGAGAGGUUCCAGGCCCGCAGUCAGGAGCUGGAGAAGAAACUGUUUGCCAAGGAGCAAGAGCUGGAACGACUCAACCAGCAGCAGAAAAGGCUGGAGGGGCAGUGCAUGGCACUACACAAUGACAAGCAUGAGACCAAGACUGAGAACACCAAGUUGAAGCUCACAAACCAGGAGCUGGCUCAGGAGUUGGAGCGCACCUCGAGGGAGCUGCAGGAUGCUCAGCAGCAGCUGGAGAGCCUGCAACAAGAAGCCUGCAAGCUGUACCAGGAGAAGGAGAUGGAGGUGUAUCGUGUGACCGAGAGUCUGCAGCGAGAGAAGUUGGGGCUUCUGAAGCAGCUGGAUUUCCUAAGGGAGAGGAACAAACAUCUCCGGGAUGAACGGGACAUAAGCUUUCAGAAAGAUAAGGCAGCCAAGGCAAACACAGCUGCUUCCAAGGCAAGCUGGAAGCAGAGAUCUGGCUCUGUGAUCGGCAAAUAUGUGGACAAUGGAGGGAUUCGUAGAAGCCAGUCUGAGGAGGAGGAAGAUAUGUUUAGCAUUCCGAGAAGAAAGAGCUCCCUGGGCCUGAGUGCAUACCCCCUCACAGAAGAGGAGCCCGGGACCAGCGAGCCAGGAGCUGGGGGUCCACUCCGACGGGCGCUUCGCAGGAUCAUCUCUAUCGAGGAAGACCCCCUGCCCCAGCUCCUGGAUGUCACCACUGAGCAGCCAUUGAACAAGUGCUCUGAAGAGGAGGGGGUCCCCAGCCAGGGGGCUGAGGGACCAAUCCCACAGGCCCCACCCUUGACACUUUCCCCUAAGUCUCCCCGAGGGCAGCCUGUCGGAAAAGAAGCCCUCUGUCGGGAGGAACAUUCACCACCCACUCCAGAUCGGCUCUUCAAGAUUGUGUUUGUGGGCAACUCUGCGGUGGGGAAGACGUCCUUACUGAGGAGGCUCUGCGACGAGCACUUCUCCACAGGCAUUGCAGCCACUGUGGGUAUCGAUUACCGAGUGAAGACAAUAAACGUGGAUGGCUCUCAGGUGGCCCUGCAGCUGUGGGACACGGCUGGACAGGAAAGGUACCGCUGCAUCACCCAGCAGUUCUUCCGAAAAGUUGAUGGCAUCAUCAUCGUAUACGACCUCACAGCCAAGGAGUCAUUCCUGUCAGUCCGGCAGUGGCUCAGCAGCAUAGAGGAAGCUAUGGGAGGCCGUGUUCCUGUUCUUCUGCUGGGCAAUAAACUUGACAAUGAGAAGGAGCGAGAAGUUCCCCGAGGCCUGGGGGAGCAACUUGCCAAGAAAAACACUGAGAUGGUAGUUGAGUGUCUCAGCUCACCAGUGGUGGGAUCAGCAGUCCUGUCUCCCAGUGGGUCCUGUACCCUCCUGCCCCCACCCACCAAUGGCUCCAUGCCCACAAGACAUCGACCUCUGAGGAAACAGCAUCUCCAAGCAGGAGCUGGUGCCAUCAGCAGUGCUAUCACAGAGAGAACAAUCUGAUCUUCUAUGAAUGCAGUGCCUAUUCCGGUCACAACACCAAAGAGUCCCUGCUCCAACUCGCCAGGUUCCUCAAGGAACAGGAAGACAUAGUGAGAGAGGACAUCAUUCAGGUUGGCCGCCCCACCAAGAAGAAAUCCUGCUGCAGAUGACAGGAGGCCUCAGAGAGGACUGGACUUCCUCCGCCCCUGGCAGGGCUCACCCAGACCUCUGUCUUUGUUGGGGACUUGCCUCCCCCAGAGGAAGGGAAGCAAAUGGAUCAGCAGUGCUGCUCUCAAGCAUCUCUUCUAGAUCCCAAGUGUCCACUCUUCCCCCCUCCCCUCCAGCUUGGUUUCCUGGGGGAAAGAAACAGGUGGGCCAGAAAAACCAUCAGGUGCCUCCUCCUCCUCCCUUCUCCCCUUGCCCUUAGGAGCUCUGUGCUCUGGUUGCCAUGGCAACUGUGCAGGGCCAACUUGCUGCUUCCUGGAGGCCAAAGAUGUGCCAAAUUUGUUGCUCUUCCUUUGACCCCUAUUCUCCAGAGGUCAAAGGGGGUACUCUUGUCACACAUUUCAUAGACCUUGACAGACUUGAACAGAAAGAAGAAAAUCACUCAGGGUUCCGCCCUUCCCCCAUCCCAAGCCUCAGAGCAGUCUCUUGGUGAUCACCACAUUCAUGAAUUGUCCCCCUUUGGGUCUGUGGAACAGUGCCUCCCAGAGAACCCACAGCCUUUCUUGCCCAUCCCUAGUGACAUCCUUGACUCCAGGGCAAGCCAAGGGUGACAAUUUAUGUCUGGAGUUAGGGAGUCAGCUUUCUUCCUACCUAACUCUGACUAAGAGAUGAAAACAAGGGGAAAAGCCAUCUGCUGCUAAAGGGAACAACCAUCUCUGGAGGGUAUAAGUAAGGUAUAGACAGCUAUAUAAAGCCGUGUUCUAAAUGUGCCUCAGAAUAACUCAAAGAAUCAUGCAUGAUGAUUAAUGGAGGAGACUGAUAUGCAGGCAGUGUGGCCUAGCACCAAGGCCGUAGUUACCAAAUUCAUUUUAUAUUAUUUUCCUUUUCCAGGAGAGUAUGCUUUUCUUUAAUGUGGCUGUAAUGUCGGCAUUUUAGUGGUGUUUGGAAGGUGACUAAGGUGUAGCUGCUGGCUUUGGCACAGGCUGCUCGGACAGAAAGAUCUGGGUCCCCGUGAGAUUCCUUUCACGAGAGAAGGGGAAGUUCUAGCACUAGAGUGCCCCAGGAUCACUGGAUGGACGUCAGGUGCAGGCAAGGGCAUUCAUUCUUGUCCUGGGUAAGAAGCCAGAUAAAAAAAAUCAUAAGAUCCCUGCCGAGGUACCCCCAGCAAGGUGAGUGGUUUAGGCCCCAGUGUCAGAGCACACUGAGCAGAAGACAGCGGGAAGUGUCCCAAGGUCACGGCUCCAAGCAGCUGGCCAAAGACAGCCCACACACAGCCAGACAGGGAGAGAAGAAGCUGCUAGCUAGAGUUCCUAGGGGUAUUUCCAAGCCUCCUCUUCAGACUGCAGAAAACGUCAGCCCCAGUGGGUCACCAGGCAAGUGGCAUCUCCUUUCUGCAGAUCUCUCUCCCCACUUCCUCUUUUUUUCUCCCUCCACACUUGCAAAAACCAGAGACCCAUGAGGCACAGAGUGUCUAAAGGUCUGGAGUGUUCCCUCCAGGCUCCCGCCUCACCAGGCUCUUUUCACUUGGGAGCUUCCUGCUCAGAUACUGAUGGUGGUGUAAUCAUUUUCCUUCACUGACUGACCCUAGGUCCCUUGUACAAGUUUGGAGAGAACUUUCAAGGAACUCCUUCCCUAAGGGAAAGGCAGUGGUGACUGCCUCACGGUGGGGUGUGGCCCCUUGAAGAAAGGAUAUGUAGGUGUGUGUGUGUGUGUGUGUGUGUGUGUGUGUGUGUGUGUAGGGCAGGUGGAAGGCAAGAUGGUCUUAGAAUAGGUCAGUUCCUCUGCUUCUGACCAAACAGAUGGAACUGGUAUUACAGGUAAGCAGAGUCCACUUGGGGCUCUCUAAGUCCUCAGACACCUUUAUCCCCUUGCCUUAUCCCUGCCUCAGGUUUCAUUUUCCCCAUUAGUAAAGUGCCUUCACGGGUUUUUUCCAUUUAUAAAGUGGAACAACCCUGCUGCCAGGCUUCUGGCGUGGAGAGCAAAUGCCAGCACUCUUCAGAGGCCUGGCAGAGAAAGAUGGUGUAAGAGGAUCUCCACCAAUUUCAGGAGACCACAGGGAGUGUCCCCAGGCCAGGCCUCCAAGGAGGCCUCUGCUUCCUUCUUCUGUAGCCUCACUGUAGGAGAGUGGAGAGCUGAUGUUUCAGGAGAACUCCGAGAAGUCCCCUGUCCCCUCAUCUGACUCAUUUUAGCCACUAGGUCGACCAGAGUCAACCCAGAGGUCACCCUGGCCCAGGGGCUGGCAGGAUGCCUGGAACAACCUUCUGGUUCUGUCCCACUUGUAUUGCUGUGAAGAUCUCAAGCCAGUCACCUAACCAAGCUGUCCACUCACCUGUACACUGGGUGUUUUUAUCCCCAUGACAUCCAGAGUGCUACAGGAAGUAAUGGAUGUAAAGUACUUAGCACAGUGCCCAGAACCUCAUAGGUACUGAGAAGCAGGGUCUAUGUUUGUUUGGUCAGCACUGAGUUGCUGCCCCGUCUGCUUGCCUUACUUUGGUUUUAGAUUGAGAACCAGCUAACACUUAGCAAGCAUCUAUCUGAAACAAGCCUGUUCACAGAGACCACCUCUCUUGAGCAUCUCUCUGCCUGACCCAUUUGCAAGGUUCUGGGUUCAGGUCUGACCUCACCACGUGGCCUCAUGCCCUUCAUUCCUGGCUUUCCUGUCAGUGCCGAUAUCCUGGCAGAACUUGUUGUCUGAUUUCAGCUCUGAUCCACUCCUCACCUUGUCCAAGACUCAGGCAGCAGCUCAGAGCUGGUGCUGGCCCUGGCUAUUUACCUGUGAGUGGCCAGUACUCUUGCUCACAGCCAAGCCUUGCCCCUGCUCCGCCAGCAUGGCUUCUUAUGCUCUUUUUGGGGUCUGCUGCUGCCUUUGGCCCAGCGUCGCCAGUUCAAGAACUCCAGCACCAAAUCAAUGCCUGGGCUUACCUUGCAUCUCACAUGUGCUUCCCUGCAGUCUCCUUAAGGUCUUAGAGUGACACCCCAGUUCUCCCUUUCCAUCCUGUAUUAAUUCCCUACUCUUAGGACCUGCAUUCAGUCUUGGGGUCCCUGCUCUCCUGGGUCCACACCGGGGCCUACUUAUGUGCUCCAUCAAGAACACCUGGAACCUUCAUUCCUGUCCCAAACAGUCACCCUUCUGAAGGAUCUUAAACCAAUCCCAGAGGAGGUAUUUCACACAAAUAGUAGCUCCAGAGCAGUAUUUGUAUGUUAACAAAGAACUCUAAGUGACGCAAAACUAACCCAAAUGAAGAGUCCAUAGGGUUAAAUAUUAAACACUACAGUGAUCAUGAAGGUUACAUAUUUAAGACAAAGCUGUCUGCUUUCAUCAGACCUUUGUUUGCUUCAUGCAUUUAGAGACUCUUGCUUGCAUUCAGAUAUGCUUGUCCCUGUGACAUCUCUGGGAUGUCUUAGCCCUUUGUCAUUAUGAAGCACCCUCUGUUGAAUUAACAACUUCUGUUUUAAAGCCCAUUCCAUUCUGCCUUGUACUACAAUAGCCACUUUUUGUUGCUGUUCGCAUAGUGCAUUUUUUACAUUCUUUUAUUUCCAGCCAAUAGGCUGACACAAAUAUGUGUCUUUAAAUCUAAAUUGAAUCUGUUGUUGAUAGCAUACAGUUAGAUCAUUUUUAAAGCCUGUUUUUCCAAUUUCUCUUCUAAUUGGAAAGUUUAUUUGCAUCUAACGCAAUUGACAAGCAGGAUUUAUGUCUGCUGUUUUGCUGUUUAUUUUCUACCCAUCAUUUUUAUUCCUCUAUUCUUCCAUUACUACUUUUUGUAUUAAAUAGGUACCUUCUAGUGAGCCAUUUUAAUCUUUUAUUUUAACUGUACAUUUUUACCUGUUUUCUUGGUGACUACCCUGAGGAUCACCAUUAAUAUCUCAAUUUACUAGCAAUCUGUUUGGAUUAAUAGCAACUUAUUUUCAAUAAUACACAAAAAAGUUGCUCCUCUAAGGCUUCAUUUUCCCUGCCUCAUACUGUUGUCACAAAUUACAUCUUCACACAUUCUGAGCCUAUCAACAUAGAUGUGUAAUUAUUGUUGUAUUCAGUUGUCUUUUAAUGGUAGAGAACAAAGGAGUUUUUUAAAAAAUUAUACUAUCUUUUAUAUUUAACUAUACAAUUGAUUUUACUAGUGCUCUUGAUGUCUGCAUGUCAACUUGGAUUAUUAUCUUGUGGUUUUUCAUCUCAGCCUGAAGGACUGGUUUCCUUUAGUAUUUCUUGAAGGGCUGUCGUGGUUACUUUUCUCAUCACUAAGACACAAUAUUCAAGGCCCACAAGUUAAAGGAGGAAAGAUUAGUUUCAGCUCACAGUGAGGUUUCAGUGCAGUCAGGUGGCUCCAAGGCAGGGUGCCACGGCAGAAGGGCCUCACAGAGAGCAGGCAGAAGGCUGCAGAGCAGUGCAGGGCAAACCUCUCUUUCCCUUUUAUCACAUCAGGCUAAUCUUUUUGGGUUGUACCAUUCCAUAUCCAGAACUGGGAUAAACCAAUCAGUAGACUACUUCAUUACCAUACAACCUUAAUCUCCCAGCACCACAUACCCAUGAUUCAGCAACCUCCAAAAAGCCCCACCUAAAAGCACGUGAGGUUUUAGGGGGGCAUCUAUGCAAAAGCUGUAACAAGAGCAGACCUGCUAUAGAUAAACUCUCUCUGUUUCUGUAUAGCUGUGAAUGUCUUAAUUUAUCUUGCAUUUCUCAAGGUUAUUUUUGCUAGCUAUAGAGUUUUAGGUUGACAUCUGUUUCCAGCAUUUAGACUGUGCAUCCCAGUGUUUCUGGCCUCCCUGGUUUCUGACAUGAAAUUAACCAUUAUUCUUACUGAGGGCCCCUUGUAUGUGAUGAGUUGCUUCUCUCUUUGUGUGUGGCUUUCAGCUCUUUGCUUUUGAUGUUUCCAGCUGUGGAUUUCUUUUGAAUUUAUCUCUCUUGGUGUGUGUUGAGAUUCUUGAUGGGUAGAUUAAUAGUCCAAAUUGGGAGAGCUUUUGUCAUUUUUUUCAAAUAUUCUACCUACCAUAUUCUCUCUUCCCUUUCCUUUUGGGCUCUCAUUAUGCAUAGAUGGCAUUCUCAAUAGUGCUCCACUGGCUACUGAGGCUCUGCUCAUUAUUUUUAUUCAUUUUUGUUUGUGUUCUUCAUCUGAUGUCAAUUGACCUACUUUAAAAUUCACUGAUUCUUCUACCUGAUCAAAUAUGAAUUUUAUGUAAAUUUAAGUUAAUUUUUCAUUUCCAUUAUUUAUUAUACCUUAGACUCCAGAAUUUCUGUUGGGUUCCUCAUUAUAAUUUUCUAGUCUUUAUUAACAGUCUCUUCUUUGCAAGUCUCUAUUUUCAUCCUUUUUUCUAGUUCUUUAGACAUGGCUUCCUUUAAGUCUUUAGCUGUAUUUAAAAUAGCUUAGAUUUAAAGGCUUAAGUCUUCUUCCUUCCUUAUACGCCACAAAACACAGCUAGGAGCCAGUCUCCUUCCUUAUCUCUGCCACCGGCCUCCUCUCCAGAGUCUCUCCUCUCUUCUGAAAUGGAAAGUGGAAGGGGUCUUUGGGAUUGAGAUCAUUCUGGGUGACCAGUGGAGUUGAGGUGCCCAAGGAGGUGCCCAGUUCCUUGGGCAAGCAAGGGGAGCCCAGAAACCCUUACACAAGACUCCUAAGAAUCCAGACAUCCAGUGUGGAAGUCAGAUCUGAAGCUUGAAAAGUAAAAGGCAGUUUACUCCCAAAUAAUGAAAUUAUAGUACACAUGCAUGAAAAACCCAAAACCCAAUGUCCUGGGCUUCUGCUGGGACCAAACCCCUGCCUGGCUUCCAGGACUCAUGCAAAGGGUGGUCAGCUCCUCCUCCUCCUCCUCCUCCUUCUCCUCUUCCUGGGAAAUAGAAAGAGGCUACCCAAAGCCCAGCCAGGCCCAGUCAGAAUCCACAGGAUUUGACCUUGUUGGUCAUUUCCUCCCUCUUUAUAGUGAGGAGUGGCUGACAGGAUAGAAAUGCAGUGUGAACCUCCCAUACCCACUUUCCUACCUCUGUUGGUGUUUCUAUUCAUGGACAUAUUAAUUACCAGCAACAGCAAUAACAAAGAACAUCAUAACUCCACUGUUCACACAAUUCAGUGGAGCCAAUUUAAUCAAAGUGCCCUACUUAGGAGAACAUUGCUGGGAGUUGAGGGGGCUGGGAGACCACGCAAGGCAAUGGUUGGCCGAGGACCUGAAAGCCAUGUGGAGCUGAGAAGGUUGGACAGGGUUGCACCAUUUAUCAUCCUGGGGCCAGAGCUGAGUCAGGUCUAAGCUGACCCUUUCUCCAAGCUAGGACCUCAUGGAGACUUUGGCUCAGAUUUAGAGGUGGUGAUUGUAGACCCUUGUCAUAGCACUGGGAGACUCCUCUCCCUACAAAUGAGGACUCCUAGAAUCAGCAAGACCUGUGCUAUCACAGUGAAUUAUGACUGGAUCCAUCUGCCCUAUACAAAUAAAUAGAAGACUACACUAUCAAGCAGAAGUUGCAAAAGAACACAGACAGAAUAGGAUCGUUAUUUUUUCAACUUGGAAACAAUAAUUGAAACAUGUGAGUGUGAACUCAGAAUGAAUCAGGGAAACAUGACUGUGGAGGUGCAGCACUAGGUCAAGGGCAGAGUGCCAGGGUGUAGUCCCGGCUCUCCCAGGCUACUCUGUAAUGGUGCUAAUCCCUACAUACUGUUUAAAGGACUUGGGGAAUGAAAGGCCCUGGACCAAGGUCCUGAGAGCAGGAGCAACCAUAUCCAUGGCUUUUUGUUUGGCCCAGUGCCUAGCAAGUUGUCUUUGCCUUAUGGGAGCAUUUGAAGGCCAAGUGUCAUUUCUGGAGAACAAGGCUCAUCCCCUGGGAGAACUGCACCUCUGGAGCCUAGGUCCCAGAGGCUGUUCUGCUGUGCCCCUGUCCUGGGCAGACCCAUGGAGUUUGCUUCGAUGGUUCAAAUGAGGUGCUUCUUCUAGCUUUUACAGCAGCACACUGGGGAGCCUUCUGGCUGCUGUGAUUCCAUUGCCUCUCAGACAGCGUGAUGCCCAUCAAAGCCUUCCAUCUCAGCCCUGCCCACAGCCUCCCCAGCUGCUGCCAGUGGCAAUCAUUACCUUCAGGCUGUUCAACAACUCAAUUUUGCUUGAGCUCCCUGCCUCUGUGCCCAGAAGAUGUUUUCUGGCCCAUUUCUCUUUGUUCUUGGUGUGGAACCAGCCCUAUACCCCAUUGUCCCUCUCCCAAAAGCUUUCUCUGGUCCCCAAGACCUGCUCAGAAUAAGGACCUGCAUGAAAGUUGUGUGACUUUGUGCAAGGCCUAGACUGGCUGGGUGUCUGAGCUCACUUCCUCAUUUGCACAAGAGCGCUCCCAGCCUUGCUCUCACAGUGGGGACCUCAGGGAAAGAGCCAAGUCAACUGAAAGACACAGUGCAAAUGAUAGUUAUUAACUCAUCAUGUCUCCCUACACAGGAAACCAAACCAAACACAGUAGGAUAAAGAGAGAAUCUACAUUUCUCAGUAACUGGGAGAAGCUAAGGCCAAAGGUAGACGCUCCUCCCAUUUCCCCUUUGGAAGAGAAUGAGCAAAACUUGCAUUUCUUCAAGCUAGAGAAUUUCCUGCUUUCUCUCCACAAUGAUUUGGCAUUGCAUGAGGUGCCAGUGUCACACAGACUAUAAGGUCUUACCAUCAGGGUUGCGGUCUCCAUAUUUGUAUCUACCAUAUGACCUACAGAACAAAUGCUGAGUGGGGCAGAUGCAUGAAGUGAAGUCAUUAGGUCAUGCAUUCUUGACUGGCCCACCUUGGUAUACAUAGUUUAUAAAACACUUCCACAUUGGGAUAGUGAAGAAGUUCUGGAGCUGGAUAGUGGUAGUCAGGGCAGGCUGCACAUGGUAUCAUGAAUGUACUUGUAAAUUUUUAAAUGGUUAAAAUUAUAAAUAUUAUGCAUCUUUUACUGAAAUAAAGUAGAAAAGCACAAAAAUAUUCAUGUUUCAUGAAGGAAGGAAGGAUUGACUUUCUUCCAUCCCCAGCAAUUAGGAAGCCCCACCCUGGCCUUGUGUCACAUCCAAGGGCACAGGUGAGAAGGAAGACAACCUGAUCUCUAGCCCUGGGAACUGCAGGGCACUUGAGAGCAGCAAACUCCUGGAAACCCACUGUACCAGGUGUACAUGACACCCACAGCCUCCCCUCUCCCAGGCUGGACUCUGCCCAGAAAGUGCUCAGCACUCCUGGUGCUCACUCUGCCUGGCCCAUGCAUGUACUUCUCUUGGGGAGUUGGCCGCAUGCCACUUGUGGACAAACUCCUUGUAAAACAGAAUCUUCAUGCCCUGAAUCCCAACAGCAGUGCCGUCCUGGCUCCAGAGCAACUAUGACAGUGUGCUGAAUAAAAACCAAAUAAUGAAA
This is an RNA transcript of Cavia porcellus (domestic guinea pig), 10889 nucleotides long. It is a transcript of the gene named calcium release activated channel regulator 2A, with no coding region annotated. Lineage: Eukaryota; Metazoa; Chordata; Mammalia; Rodentia; Caviidae. The record is from RefSeq and is a predicted model, not a curated record. The transcript has 20 exons.